Molecule: ribosomal RNA, 468 nt
Filed under: uncultured bacterium
Lineage: Bacteria
Description: bacterial SSU rRNA
Rfam family: Bacterial small subunit ribosomal RNA
Source: RNAcentral
CCCAGACUCCUACGGGAGGCAGCAGUGAGGAAUAUUGGUCAAUGGGCGCGAGCCUGAACCAGCCAAGUCGCGUGAGGGAGGACGGCCCUACGGGUUGUAAACCUCUUUUGCCGGGGAGCAACGGGCGUCACGUGUGGCGCCACUGAGAGUACCCGGAGAAAAAGCAUCGGCUAACUCCGUGCCAGCAGCCGCGGUAAUACGGAGGAUGCGAGCGUUAUCCGGAAUUACUGGGUGUAAAGGGAGCGUAGACGGUGAAGUAAGUCUGGAGUGAAAGGCGGGGGCCCAACCCCCGGACUGCUCUGGAAACUAUUUGACUGGAGUGCAGGAGAGGUAAGCGGAAUUCCUAGUGUAGCGGUGAAAUGCGUAGAUAUUAGGAGGAACACCAGUGGCGAAGGCGGCUUACUGGACGAUGACUGACGCUGAGGCUCGAAAGCGUGGGGAGCAAACAGGAUUAGAUACCCUCGUAGC